UGCUAGAACAGUCCUUUCGUCU
RNAcentral lists this non-coding RNA (22 nucleotides) under Arabidopsis thaliana (thale cress). The record is from RNAcentral. Lineage: Eukaryota; Viridiplantae; Streptophyta; Magnoliopsida; Brassicales; Brassicaceae.